GCCCAAGUGGCGGAAUGGUAGACGCAGCGGAUUCAAAAUCCGCCGGUAGUGAUACCGUGCCGGUUCGAGUCCGGCCUUGGGUACCA
RNAcentral lists this transfer RNA (86 nucleotides) under Paracoccaceae bacterium. Its description in RNAcentral is "Rhodobacteraceae bacterium tRNA-Leu". It matches the Rfam family "tRNA". From Rfam's summary of the family: Transfer RNA (tRNA) molecules are approximately 80 nucleotides in length. Their secondary structure includes four short double-helical elements and three loops (D, anti-codon, and T loops). The record is from RNAcentral. RNAcentral also lists the same sequence under 3 other names. Lineage: Bacteria; Pseudomonadati; Pseudomonadota; Alphaproteobacteria; Rhodobacterales; Paracoccaceae.